Molecule: RNA transcript, 10770 nt
Organism: Prionailurus viverrinus (fishing cat)
Lineage: Eukaryota; Metazoa; Chordata; Mammalia; Carnivora; Felidae
Gene: ACER3
Gene name: alkaline ceramidase 3
Exons: 12
Source: RefSeq, a predicted model, not a curated record
UGCCGCUGACGGAGCCGGCCCCUCCCCUAAGGGAGAGAGGGUGGGCGGAGCGUUCGGUGGGCGCGAGAGCAGGGCCCGAGCCGGCCUGGGAGCUUGCCGAGCCGAUCGCGGCCAGCGGAGCGCCUGGGCGGCGGCGGCGGCGGCGGCUGCGUGCGCGAUGGCUCCGGCCGCGGACCGCGAGGGCUACUGGGGCCCCACGACGUCCACGCUGGACUGGUGCGAGGAGAACUACGCGGUGACCUGGUACAUCGCCGAGUUCUGGAAUACAGUGAGUAACCUGAUUAUGAUUAUACCUCCAAUUUUUGGUGCAAUUCAGAGUGUUAGAGAUGGACUGGAAAAGCGGUACAUUGCUUCUUAUUUAGCACUCACAGUGGUAGGAAUGGGAUCCUGGUGCUUCCACAUGACUCUGAAAUAUGAAAUGCAGCUAUUGGAUGAACUCCCAAUGAUUUACAGCUGUUGUAUAUUUGUGUACUGCAUGUUUGAAUGUUUCAAGAUGAAGAACUCUGUAAACUACCAUCUGCUUUUUAUCUUAGUUCUUUUCAGUUUAAUAGUAACCACAGUUUACCUUAAGGUAAAGGAGCCUGUAUUCCAUCAGGUUAUGUAUGGAAUGUUGGUCUUCACAUUAGUACUUCGAUCUAUUUAUAUUGUUACAUGGGUUUAUCCAUGGCUCAGAGGACUAGGUUAUACAUCCUUGGGCAUAUUUUUAUUGGGAUUUCUGUUAUGGAACAUAGAUAACAUAUUUUGUGAUUCACUGAGGAACUUUCGAAAGAAGAUGCCACCUAUCAUAGGUGUUGCCACACAGUUUCAUGCAUGGUGGCAUAUUUUAACUGGCCUUGGUUCUUAUCUUCACAUCCUUUUCAGAAAAGGAACUUCUGGACAGCUAAAUAAGAAUCAUUGAAUUAAUGCUGUGAAGAGCUCAAGGUUAUUAAUCAUGGAAGAGCUCUUAAACUUUGGCUUUUGUAUACAAGAACUCUUUACCUGAAAUACAGGCCAAAAGUGAAGUUUCUCUUCGGAAUCUGGCCAGUGAUCCUGUUUGAGCCUCUCAGGAAGCACUGAUGAAUUAUUCCAGGAAAACAAAAAAAGCAUCUACCAUAGGCCUGGCCAAAUGAAUAAGGAAAUCCUUAAAGAUCUACACAUUCAAAUAUAUUAUGACCAUCACAGCAAAGGAGUGACUUUCUAACUAAUGCUGCCAGUCACACAGAGAAUAAGGAAUAGUCUUGUUGGAUAUUGAGUUCGCGUCUUUAUCUCAUUUGUCCCUUCUCCUCCUCACCCUCACCCUAAGAUGUUUAAAAAGAAACAGAUACGAUGUGUGUAUAUAUAGUUGAAUGCUGGAAAAAUGAGGCUUUUCUUAACAGGUUAACAGUUCGUGCUGAUCAUAGGAAAUUUAACCUUUUUUCCUUUUUUGACAAGGGUUGCAUGUAAAUUAUACUUUGCUUAAUAUUUGAUUAAAUGAUCCAAACAGUCAGCUAAGUAUUGGCAAAACCCCAUACCCAGAUGGCCAGCUGUGGAGCUGGCCGUGUCAGCCUUGAUUUGUGUUCUUGUCGUAGUAACCUCAUGAAUGGUUUUCCAAGGUGAAAAAGAGCUAUCUGUGGGAUUCUGGUAGUUCCUCACGGUCUGCCCUUGUGCUAGUCAGCAUGUCAUAAGCAAGCUCCAACUGGCCACUCGGUUCCCUACUUGCCAUACCCCAGAUUUGCAGUGGGUUCUGGGGUGUCUGUGUGUGGCCACCGCCAAUCGGAGUUGAGUGGGUCACCUUGUAGAGUUUGCAAAGACCACAAGGACACCUGUGGGAUGUUGUGCCUCCAGGCUGUUAGUUAAAGGUGGUUUCUCUGUUUUCUUUGAUCUUUGCAGAUCUUUAAGUUGUCACUGGUUUUAUGGCUAGGCAAACAUGAUUGGUGGUCUGGCCUGCCAAUAUUCCACCCUCUUGACGGAACUUAUUUGAAGUUACCAGUGAAUGUUGUUUGUUAUACUCUUUAUAAACUAUGCCAUAUUUUCCAGUUUUCAGAGGGGCCUUGGUUAUGCCCAGGGAAAUGUAUCAGGUUAACUAGAGCUAAAAUGAUCAGGAUCCUAUUUACAUAAAGCUUAUUAGAAUGCCUGCCCCUUCAUUUGUUGAAGGAAAUAGAUACAAGAGUUGAGAAUGGCUCUCACUUGAACGAACUCCCCAAAAUUAAAAUACUAAAAAAUGGCAGUGAAAUAUCAUCACAAAGCAGCUAGUUCUGAUUUGGGUUCAGAUGUAUAACAAAUUGAAUUACAUUUCACAAACAUAACACCGAUCUGGAGUAAAACCUUAUUUGACCCCUUUGCCUGAGGUAUCACUGUAUUGGUAGCUCUGUACCACUUGGCAUUUUUGCGACUUUAUUAUAAAACCCAGAUUGUUUUUACCGCGUGGUGACAUUGACCCAGAUUAAAUCCUGAAGCUACAGCCUCAAAAGGAAAAUCAUUUUUUUCUUCUGCAAAGGUAUAAAAACACUCCUGUCAUUUUCCCAGUAUCCAGUAAGUCGCCUUUGUACAAAUUUAAAACCAGUACAGAUUUUGUUGUUCUUCUUCACCUUCUGGCCUUAGUUUUAGUCCAAGAACUAUUUUCCUUACCAAAGCAUGCCAACACGCCAUUAGGCAUAAACUUCUGCCUACUUUUAUGAUCCUCGAGCAGGAAAAGCACUUGCCAAAAUAAAUCUAAAGAACUUUGGUUGUGCCUUAAGAAAACCUAAAACUAAACAGUUCUAAUACACAGCCUGUAAGACUGUUCUUUCGCCAUAAGAUUCUGACUUCUGGCUACAUUUCAUGUGCAGCUACCUAGGCUAUCAGCCAUCUUACAUUUUUCAAAUAGGUUCAUUUGUUUCACACCAUUGUCUUUUGUACUUUUCACUCAAGCUACACUUCUGUGUAAAGAACCUAUGUUUGGCAAGAAAGGCACAGCCUUCUUGAUAGCACAGCCAGGCGCAGGGAGACUGAGGCUGUGCAUAUCACAGACAAGGUGUGGAGAGCCCCCACUGAUACCCAAGCCCUUUCCAGCAGUUUGCUGAACGAACAGUUCAGCCACCACCCCCUGUAGUCACUUGCUGAAUGAAGUUGUCCAGCACCUCCGUGGAGAAGCACGGGCACCACUGGCUGACUUGUAACGCUGUGGCCACUUGUUCAGAGACCCUUGUCUCUGCUGUGAAAACAGCUGGCAUGGAAGCAGAAAGCAUUUUAGAAGUGUUGAGCAGAAAGCAGAGACUGAAUCCAGGCUCUAACUCUCCCAAGUUCGCCUGUGCCUCACAUACGGCUCUCUUUCUAGCAGCCUAAGUAUUAGCACACUCAAGACUUCUUUUCUGUGCCAUAGCGAGUAUUAUGGAAAUACUGCUGACCUUCAGGGUAUUGCUAAAUCAACUUUAUUUGAAUGGCUUUAUUUUUCCCUUCUAGGAUUCCAGGUAGGCAUUGUAGGGUUGGGUUCCCUUUACUUCCUUGGCAGACUUCCUAAACUAGAGUAUACAAAAACCGAUUUCCUGCUGAGCAAACAUAUCUGAUGUGAAAGGUGCUCCUCUGUGAGCCCUGUAGCAAAUUACAUUUUAGAAAAUACUAGUAUCUUAUGAGGAUAUGAAAGGAGCAGUUGGCCUGUGUAUCUUAAUAUCCUGCCAUUUUCACUCCAGAAAAUUGAAAGCAAUUUGACUUUUUUUCAAGGAAAAACUAAAUGAUAGGUGGUUGUCCUAAUCUGGUUGGUCACUCCACCCACCCCUCCCCACCGUGGUGCUUUCAUGAAAACAUUGCCAACACCUGAAGUGAUCUCUUUUAUCUUUGCGAUAUUGUAUAAAUUGAUGAUUGGGGAUAAAUUGAUGACAAACAUUUGUUUUUGAUUAAUUUACAAAUGAGAACCUCAAGUAGUGUAUUUGGUUUAGUAGAAUCAGAUAAAAUAUUAUGGUUUACCCUAAAUGCACAGUUUCCAGGACCAUUAAACUAGUCUUUCCUUACACUAAGAAUGUUUUACUUAUACUGAUGAAGUUUUGGGGUGAUGGUGGGGUAGUCUAGAGCUGACAAGAAAGAAUUCUUGAAGAUGCCUUUGGUGCAAAGGAUUUUAUUAAAACAAGGAGACAGGACCCAUGGGCAGGAAGAGCUUCAUGGGGUCAUAAUAGGUAGCUCAUUACAUACCCUCAGGUUGGGAGGGGGUCAGGGAUAGAGUAAGCCUCUAAGGAAUUUUGGAAGCAAGGUUUCCAGGAUCUUGAGGGGCUAGCUGGUGCUAGGGAAAUGCCACUUAUUACCACUUAAUAAACCCUCAGUCAUGAGACCCUUUAGAUGUAUAUCGAGGGCCCAUAAACUUGGAGUAUGAUCUCCAGCAUAUAUUUUGGGAGAGUUGAGACAAAGGAAGUUGACUUAUAGGAUCCUCGAGGUUGGGAUAAUGUUAACCCAGGGUUCUCUUUUGCCCCCAGCAAAGUGUCAUCCUUGAAGCAGCUGAGCUAGAGGGAGGUCACUCUGCUGGUCUCAAGGACUUGUCAGUGGGCUCUAGGCAGUAAGGGAAUUUAAUUUUUCAUUUGCCUUAGUUUCCCACGUUACCAUGGCAAGCAUUUAAACCCCUUUCCUUUGUUCUUGGGUAGCCAGGAGUAUCCGAGGACUAUCACACAUUCCACCUGGUGGGGGGAGGGGGGUGGUGUGCCAGCCUGUAUUUUGCCCUCAGCUUGCCUCAUGCUCCCCCAUCAAUACUAAAGAUAAAGAGGUCAGAGUCAAAAUCAAGAGACCAAAAAUUUUGCAUGAAAAUCUUUACAUGCCAAAAAAAAAAAAACCCAAAAAAACUAUAUUCUAUUUAAGAGUUGAUUUUUAAUAAUCUCUACACCCAACAUGAGGCUCAAACAUACAACCCAAGAUCAAGAGUCACAUGCUCUACUGACUGAGCCAACCAGGCACCCCAAAACUAAGUUCUGUUUUAAUGCCUACUCCUUCAGAAUUUAGCCAGUGCCCCUUAAAGUGUAAUAAUUUAGUUUUAAGGUUUUCUUAUGACUCGUAUGGGUUCCACAUUACUUUGCUCUUGAAAAGAAAAAAGAAUCAUGUGUUGCAAAGUUUUAAUAGUUUUAACUCUCAGUUGCACGUUUACAUGGCAAAAGAAAUUAUUAUAACCCUGUGGUUUAUGAUGUGCUACUGGAUAAAUAUUUAUAUAAAACUGAUGUUUCAAAGAGAGUCAGUUAUAAUUGGAACUUGCAGACUGUAUGGCAAUUUGCAGAUCUACCUCUGUUUUACAUUUUGCCUCUUAUCGGUGCCAUAAUGUAAUUAGUUUGAUUGCAUUAGUUUGUCUUGUUUUUCAGUGUCUAAAAUUACAGUUUACUCACUGUGCUGUAAACAUUUGAAAAUAAUGACUAAAAUUUGGCUAAAAGUAUUUAAACGCCUUUGUAGCGAGGGCUAUAAAAUGAAAAAAAAAAAAUAGUCAUGGCCCAUCUGAAUGGAAAACUUCAAUGCUAUUUUUUAAACUCUUGCACUUCAAGAAUAAGGAAACUUUUAAAUGUCUAAUUGUAGUUGCUAGAUGAGAAAUUGCCAGUUUUGCUGGGGUUCCUGUGAGCAUGCUGCUGGACUUAACAAUGUCUCCUGUUGGGGAGGAAAAAUCUCUCCUUUACCCUCUUAGAUUCAGUAGUUGAGGGCCUGGGAAUUAAACUGACAAAUGAGAGACGAGCAAGAGAAAAUGUAGAUUUUUAUUCGCAUGACACAGAGCAUUCAGAGAAAGGUGGGGCCGGAGGCAGGAUUUGGGGCUUAUAUACCAUCUUAACAAGGGGAGGGGAGGGAAAGAGAGGGCACUGAGGGGAAAACAAAUGAUGUUCAGAAUGGAUAAACGGGCCCUUAGGAGAAUAGAUGGGAGAUUGGAUAGUUUUGUGACAAUGUCUGCUCAUUUGUGAUGCCAGAGUCAAAACUACAACAGUUGAGUUCUUUGGGGGAGGUUCUGCUUUUAGGCAGAUAAAAAGGGAGUUCAGGGAAAAAAGCCUCUUCCUAUAUCUGUUGAUUCUCAAAUGCCGUUAGCACAAAAUAACUGUUAUGCCACAGUGGUACGUGCCCCCUCCCCACAUCUAAGACUUCCUUUAUUUCCCCUAAGACUUCCCAAGAUGUUUCAAGGACCAGAAGCGGAGAUGGUGGCUGUGGAGAGAAGAUUCAGGUUGGAAGUUGGGAGGUAGGAGAUCUGCAAAGGGAAAGAAGGCAUAGAUUCAUGGAGAAAGAAAAGGAAAAACACAAAUUAGUAGUUGGAGCAGAUUAUAAACUCAGUUUGAGUGCAGAGGACAGGCAGUCAAAAGGAUUUCUAAACACUGGUCUUGAAGUGUCUUUAAAAGGCAGAGUCAGAAUGGUAAUGGCAGUCUCACAGUCAUGGAUAUUUCCUGGAGCUCUGGUGAACUUCCUGAGUGGCCCAAACCGUUGUGAUAAAUCCUUUGAAGUUCCCUUCAGCUUGCAGGGCUUAAGGAAAUGGGCGCCUAUCGGUGCCGAAUCAGGAGGGUGGAAGAAAAUUGGAAAAGUUAUUUACUGACAAAAUACACAAGGUGGCAUGAUCCAGCUUACAAAGAGGUGAAAAUAGCUCAAAGAGAAUGAACAGGACUAGAAUCUGAUAAUCCACAAUGGUGGGUUAUAGUUUUCCAUUGAAACCUAAAAUUACCCCCAUUUUCAUCAAAGAUAAUCGAGGUAAGACUGUUUUUGUUUGUAGCAAGUCUAGUCUUACCAAAUUUGACCUGGUUGUAAGUGUAGCAAGAAUAGUAAUUGACGUCAUAGUCCUUUUUAAGUUUGUUUGGCUGGAACUUUUAUUAGGGAUCUCAGAUUGGACUUUUAAACGCCUCAAAGCUAGGGGUGCCUGGGUGGCUCAGGUUAUCUCACAGUCUUCAGUUCAGGUUGUCUCACAGUUCGUGGGUUCGAGCCCUGCGUCAGGCUUGAUGCUAACAGCUCAGCCUGGAGCCUGCUUCGGGUUGUGUCCCCCUCUCUCUCUGCCCCUCCCCUGCUCAUGCUCUGUCUCUCAAAAAUAAAAUAAACAUUAAAAAAAUAAAAGCCUCAAGGCUGGGAGAACUCACCAUCAGACUUCACUACAGAUUUGGGUGAAUUCCUUCUCAGGAUCCCCAAAAUAUCCUAAAUUUCUGGGCCUGCCAGGAAGUAUCCUUCCUUACUCACCUGGAAGGCUGGGAAUCCUGUAAGCCAGGCAGGUUGUCCAGGAAGGCGUUAUAAGCUCUGGCUCCUUAAAGUCCACCUUAGUUUCUUAAAACUGGUCAUCUCUGAUUCUGUGCACACCAUUCUCAAAUAUGACAUUCCAGUCAAAGCCUAAUAUAACCAGUGUUUCAAAUUGUCUCUUGUUAUAAAGAGAACAAAUUCUUACUGAACAUCCAAAUACUGCCAUGAAAAUAACAUUCAGUAAGAGUUUCCAGACUCUGGACGGAUGAGGCAGGGAGAAAAGAUAAAUGUUUGUUUUUGUUUACAAAGACGUAAUCUACUGAACUGCUGUGUGGUAUAUAGAUCAUUUAACAGAAAGGGUUUCUGAAACCAAAAAAAAAAAAAAUGAAAAACAUUAAAGAACCAGCAAUAUUCUAAGCAAAGGUCACAGAAGAAAUCAUAAUCAUUCUUUAUCAGUGUACUCAGUCUCACGUGAUAACUUCAGGUGUUUCUUGAUUUGGGAUUAGCAGUUUUAUGAAUCCACAAGCUUUUCUGUUUGUUCUAGAAACCAUUUGUCCAGGGAUAUGAUCUUAAAAUUACCUCAACAAUGACAUCAGAAGCCUGUACCCCCAAGUACCUAUUGUAGUCUUUACCAUGGGUCCGUGAGACAGUCUUUUUUUGUAAAACAAUAUCUUUGAGUGACAAAAGGCUUUAAAUGGCCAUGGUUAAAGAUUUGAUAAAGAGUUCUUUAUAAUGUAGUUGACAAGGAAAUGUAGUCGUCCCUGUAACAUUCACUUUAGAUAACUGGAGGUGUGACUAAUCGCUUUCUACCAGGACAUGGACAGCUAGGACGUUGACAAAUUUCCAACAAUCCAAGAAACUUUUUCCUUUUAGGAAGGAAUUUCAACGUCUAGUUUUGCAUCCAUAUACUAUUGGGCUCAUUUCUUAAAAAAAAAAAAAAUUAAAAAUAAAUGCAUUCAAUCAGCCAGUUUACCCACAUGAAUAAGAUAUUCCCCGCUUUUUUUUUUCUCUCCUCCACUCCUGCCCCCUUCUGUAGACCCUUUACAGCUUUCUAUGCCCAUGCGGGAUUUUGUCCUUUCCUCUUCCUUCCUCAUUCUGGAACAGCCUUUUUACAACCUCUGUGCAACUACUGUAGGAUAAAAUUGCUUUCCUUUUUUUCUUAACAAAACACAUCUUUCAUACCUUUCAGGCCUUUCGAGAUGCGUCCCUUCUUUAUUGUUUCUAGUACUCUCACUUACAUAUAUUGAUUAGCAUUCUUAGCCCCUAAUAACCUUAAUUUCCAGUGAAAAUGAGGAAGUUGACAGUUGUGAACUACCACAUAUCAGCAUUCUGUAAAUUAGCAUAUUUAUGAAUGUACCACUUCAACUUCCAGAGGUAGCUGCUUCUUUAUAAUACAAUUUAUUUUUUUUUAAGUUUUUAUUUUAUUUAUUUUGAGAGUGAGAACAGGAAAGGGGCAGAGAGAGGGAAAGAGAGAAUCCCAAGCAGGCUCUGCACUGUCAGCACGGAGCCUGACAUGGGGCUCGAGCCCAUGAACUGUGAGAUCGUGACCUGAGCCGAAAUCAAGAGUCGGAUGCUCAACCAACUGAGCCACCCAGGUGACAGUCUCUGGUACAGUUUCGUAAUGUGGUGAAAGAACAUGUUUAUUAACAGGUCCCAAACAUCUUUGGUCUUUCCGUAAAAAUAAGUCAAAGGUAGAUAAACUUAUGUUUUGCAAUUAACGUUUUAGUAUUUUAUUUGGAACUGACCUACACUCAGAAGCAGACAACUGCUUCACUUGAAUGCAAACUGAAGACACAACUCUGGCUUGGGAGCACAAACUUUGACGUUAGAUACUAAACCCUUGACACCCUUGAGGGGAAAGUGGAAACUGUGAGGGAUAGCCAGUCUCAUCAAGCAACAAUUCUUUCCCUGACAGGCGAUCAGAGCUGCUAAGAAGACCGAUCACUGAGGAAAUGAAGCAGUAUUAUUAGCUACAGGAUUUCUGCCGUUGCAGACGCACCACUUGGCCAUUUGCAAUACCGACCCCGUUUUUAACUCACUUUAAAUAGUGAAUUGAAUUAUUUCACAUUAAUGAAUUCACUCACAUUAAAUGUGGAUGUUAUUUCACAAGGCCUUCAUUUAUCAUUAAAUCCAGCAAAUGACUGCUUGUUUUGAUUGGCAGACAAUGAUCACGAGAAUAUUUCCUACUACAAAACCCUAAAAACUCAAAAAAUUCAACCACCGGUCUGCAGGUGGCCUAAAAUCGCCCCCCUCUAUUUAGCCCAGCCAGCAGCUGUUGGUAUUCUAGCACCAACCACAGGUCACACUUUGCUCACGGUUCCUUUUCACCCCUUCUCAACAAGACCUGCUUCAUUGCUUUAGAGUGCAACGUUGAUACUUGAACUAGAGUUCGUCACUGGUAAUUUGAAUAUUCACAAAAUUAUCAUAAAAGAAGCUUUAUUUGAGACUUCUGGCAAAGCCAGAUCUGCAGAACAUCGCUUUUGCAUUGAGUUGGCCCAAGUAACUAAGGUUGCAGCAGAGCACAUUUAUUAGACAAAUCUUUAAGCACAUAAAUAUGGUUCACUGCAGAUACUCAUCCUGAGAUCAUCUGCACCUAAAACAAAAUGUUUUAUGAGACCAUUUUGCUCUAGACCAGGGAUUGGCAAACUAUAGCCCACAGACCCAUCCAGUCUGCGGUUGUAUGGCCUGCAAGGUAAGAAUGAUUUUUACAUUUUAACGGUGUUAUUUAAACAUACAAAAAGAAAAAGAAUAAGCAACAGAGAGGUGUGUGGCCUGCAGUGCCUCGAAUAUUCACGAUCUGGUUCUGGGAUUUUGCCCUCUUCUCUAGGCCUUCAGCAAACGAACUCCAUAAUGGAAGUACGGUACUUCCCUCCACACUUCUCUGCAGGAUGACUGGUGUAUUUGUCGGCAGGAAAAUAUGUUCUGCACUUAAGACCUCUCUCACUUCUUUGUUGAAUGUAGUAAUAGCAUUUGUGUUUAAAUAUUGACACUCUAACACCAUUUCUUCAUAUCAGUUUUACUAGAUUGUCAACAGCCUGCUGCAAAGUGCCUAAACCUUUGGGGAAAAAAUUAUGUGAUUUUGUUUUCUUUAUGAAGGAAAUUCCAUUCCAUACUGUAAAAUCCAACAAUGCUAGGUGCAUAGUCAUGGGUACUUCUUUUUUUUUUUUCUUUCUAAAAGAAAAAGUUCGAAGCCCUUUCCACAAUUAGUCCUUGUUUCUUUUUGCCUUUUCUUUUUAGAGCUAAAUUACUUAAUAGCAAUUAACAAGUGAGUCUAUUUUAAUAGGUAUUGCCAAUUUCUGUUGAAUGUACUGAUCAGGCAUUGUUUACUGUCCAGCAUUUUCAUACUUGUAAUAUUUCUGAGUCAUUAAUGUGACCAACAGAUAAACUGUUCAAGCUAAUGUAAAGGUUCCUGGUUUCAUUUUGGUGCAAACGUCUGUUCUACUAGCAAUUAUUUAAUAAACAUAGGUUGUACUGAGUCUAUACAAGGAACUAACCAUUUUCAGGUGAUCUCAGAUCUGCUUAUUCACUUUCUCCAUUUGAUUUGCCUGUGCCGCAAUCAUUUUUCUAGACGAUAGUAGAACUAUGUAUUUUUAUCUAAUCUGCUAUAAUCUAGGCUAUAUUUCAUUAAUUACCUCUCUAUAGGUGAAAGUAUUAAAAACAAUACUGUUUUGAAUAAGA